CCUACGGGGGGCAGCAGUGGGGAAUAUUGGACAAUGGGCGAAAGCCUGAUCCAGCCAUGCCGCGUGUGUGAAGAAGGCCUUCGGGUUGUAAAGCACUUUCAGUGGGGAAGAAAGCCUUGGGGCUAAUACCCUCGAGGAAGGACAUCACCCACAGAAGAAGCACCGGCUAACUCCGUGCCAGCAGCCGCGGUAAUACGGAGGGUGCGAGCGUUAAUCGGAAUUACUGGGCGUAAAGCGCGCGUAGGCGGUCUGAUAAGCCGGUUGUGAAAGCCCCGGGCUCAACCUGGGAACGGCAUCCGGAACUGUCAGGCUAGAGUGCAGGAGAGGAAGGUAGAAUUCCCGGUGUAGCGGUGAAAUGCGUAGAGAUCGGGAGGAAUACCAGUGGCGAAGGCGGCCUUCUGGACUGACACUGACGCUGAAGUGCGAAAGCGUGGGUAGCAAACAGGAUUAGAUACCCGAGUAGUC
Molecule: ribosomal RNA, 465 nt
Filed under: Vreelandella stevensii
Lineage: Bacteria; Pseudomonadati; Pseudomonadota; Gammaproteobacteria; Oceanospirillales; Halomonadaceae
Description: partial 16S ribosomal RNA
Rfam family: Bacterial small subunit ribosomal RNA
Source: RNAcentral